CUCCUCCUCCUCCUCCUCCUCCUCCUCGUCUUCCUCGUUUGCUCUCUGAAGCAGCUGUGUGUUCAGCUGAGCAGAGAGAAGAAACCUCAAUUAUUAAAUCUCCAACACAUUUAUUAUUACACAGCUGGAGGAGGGGGAAGAAGAGGAGGAGGAGGUGGAGAAGAAGGAG
This is a non-coding RNA of Xyrichtys novacula (pearly razorfish), 169 nucleotides long. The record is from the annotation of a GenBank genome assembly. Lineage: Eukaryota; Metazoa; Chordata; Actinopteri; Labriformes; Labridae.